CCUACGGGCGGCAGCAGUGAGGAAUAUUGCUCAAUGGGCUUACGCCUGAACCAGCCAAGUCGCGUGAGGGAAGACUGCCCUAUGGGUUGUAAACCUCUUUUGUCAGGGAGCAACGCCGUCUACGUGUAACCGGCCUGAGAUUACCUGAAGAAAAAGCAUCGGCUAACUCCGUGCCAGCAGCCGCGGUAAUACGGAGGCUGCGAGCGUUAUCCGGAUGUUUUGGGUUUAAAGGGUGCGUAGGCGGAAUGCCAAGUCAGCGGUAAAAUCGCGGGGCUCAACCGCGCUCCGCCGUUGAAACUGGCGUUCUUGAGUGGGCGAGAAGUAUGCGGAAUGCGUGGUGUAGCGGUGAAAUGCAUAGAUAUCACGCAGAACUCCGAUUGCGAAGGCAGCAUACCGGCGCCCAACUGACGCUGAAGCACGAAAGCGUGGGUAUCGAACAGGAUUAGAUACCCUUGUAGUC
RNAcentral lists this ribosomal RNA (460 nucleotides) under uncultured bacterium. RNAcentral describes it as "partial 16S ribosomal RNA". It matches the Rfam family "Bacterial small subunit ribosomal RNA", at positions 338 to 795 of the family's 1533-position model. The record is from RNAcentral.